CUUGAACUUUAUAAGAGGUCCAGCCUGCCCAGUGACUCUGUUCAACGGCCGCGGUAUCCUAACCGUGCGAAGGUAGCGUAAUCACUUGUUCUUUAAAUGUGGACUAGUAUGAAUGGCACUACGAGGGUUAUACUGUCUCCUUUUUCUAAUCAGUGAAACUAAUUUUCCCGUGAAGAAGCGGGAAUAUAACUAUAAGACGAGAAGACCCUAUGGAGCUUUAAACAACCCAGCAAUUACUUCUAAAACUAUAAAUUUCAGAAUAUUCAUUUUUUAAGUAAUAUGUCUGCAAGUUUUUGGUUGGGGUGACCAUGGAGAAUAACAUAACCUCCAUAUUGAAUGAAUUCCCUUCUAAGCUGAAAAUUACCUAUUAAAGCAUCAAUAUACUGACAUCUAUUGACCCAAUAUAUUUGAUCAACGAACCAAGUUACCCUAGGGAUAACAGCGCAAUCCGCUUCAAGAGUCCCUAUCGACAAGUGGGUUUACGACCUCGAUGUUGGAUCAGGGUAUCCCAGUGGCGCAGCC
RNAcentral lists this ribosomal RNA (522 nucleotides) under Rhinella margaritifera group sp. ABGD cluster 36. RNAcentral describes it as "partial large subunit ribosomal RNA". It matches the Rfam family "Bacterial large subunit ribosomal RNA", at positions 1835 to 2560 of the family's 2925-position model. The record is from RNAcentral. Lineage: Eukaryota; Metazoa; Chordata; Amphibia; Anura; Bufonidae.